This is a small nuclear RNA of Hyaena hyaena (striped hyena), 103 nucleotides long. NCBI's taxonomy places the organism in Eukaryota, Metazoa, Chordata, Mammalia, Carnivora, Hyaenidae. The record is from RefSeq and is a predicted model, not a curated record.
UUGCUUCAGUAGCACAUAUACUACAGUUGGAACAAUACAAUCAAGAUUAUUAUGGUCCCUGAGCAAGGAUGGUACACAAAUGCAUAAAGUGUUCCAUAUUUUU